GCCAGAGUGGCGAAAUCGGUAGACGCAGCGGAUUCAAAAUCCGCCGGUCGCAAGGCCGUGUCGGUUCGAGUCCGACCUCUGGUACCC
Molecule: transfer RNA, 87 nt
Filed under: Myxococcales bacterium FL481
Lineage: Bacteria; Pseudomonadati; Myxococcota; Myxococcia; Myxococcales
Description: tRNA-Leu
Rfam family: tRNA
About the family: Transfer RNA (tRNA) molecules are approximately 80 nucleotides in length.
Source: RNAcentral